Long non-coding RNA from Balaenoptera acutorostrata (minke whale), 2875 nucleotides. RefSeq lists it as uncharacterized. Lineage: Eukaryota; Metazoa; Chordata; Mammalia; Artiodactyla; Balaenopteridae. The record is from RefSeq and is a predicted model, not a curated record. The transcript has 4 exons.
ACGGAGCAAGGUCCUUGGAAGUGCUCAGUGGUGAUGAGAGAGUAGAAGGGCGCUGCUGAGAGUCAAGGAAGGAGGAGAAAAAAGGAGGGAAUUCUACAGGCAGCUGACCCGAGAGGUUUACAGCAUGGAAUGGGAGGAGCCCACUUGCUCUGCUACUGCAAAAAGAGACCCUGGUCUUCUGAGAAUGUGGAAACUGACUAGCGGAUGGGCCAGGCUGACUUAAGUCUGCCUGUUUCCCAGAAGCAGAGUCCUUCUCCAGAAGGCAAGGUGGGCCAAAAGGCUGAGCAUCCCGUCCUGGACCCCAGUGCCCUGCAGAAGAGGCUGAGGACUUGGGCCAGUGAAGUCCUGUAAUAUUUAUUGAGUGCCUUCCUUGUGCCUGGUACUGGGGAUACUUUGGUGAACAAAGCAGACACAUCCUGCCCUCAUAGAGCUUAAUUUCUAGUGGAAAAUGAAUAAGACCAAAGGACAAAGAAGAAAGGAGACAACAGUAGCAGGUACUGUCCUAGAUGCCCAGUGGGGAGAAGGACUAGCCCCAACCUUUCUGGAGCUUUUGCUCUUGUGUAAGAUCAAGCCUGUGGAGCAGAGAGGCUUGGUGGGGACCAGAGGGCUGGGAGUCCAUACCAAGGCCAUUGUGGCCUUUCUGGAUGUGUAGCCUUCCCUCCACCCUCCCAGGAGACAUGGCUGGGCCGGCACCCAUUACUGUUCACAGAGAAGAAGGUCAUAAGUGUGCAGGGUACAAGGAGGCCCUGGGGCUGCUGAGUAGUGAGGGGAGAAGCCUCAGUCCAGCGCUAUCUGCUCCCAAAGACCAGAUGCCGCCGCUUCCUUCACCCCUCCCCCCUCCUCAGGAAAGUUCUGCUUCCCCGCUUUGAUUCUCCAUCAUCCUGGGGAUGGAGUGGAGUGGAAUCUGCUUUGGUUGUGGCCAGGUUCCUGUGGAGCAUCAGAAGCCAAAGUCACACUGGUCUGGGAAUGUGUCUAAGGUCAGUGCUAAAGCCCAGCUCUACUGCCUUCCCUGGGGCUCCUUCAAAACACGGCCUCCAGGUCCACCUGCCCUGGGCUUUUCUGGCCGCCCCGCUCCAUUCAACGUUGACUCCCGCUGCAUGCUGAGCAAGUGUGCUGGGCACUGGGGACACAGAAACAUGAAGCACGUGCCCAGUGUGCCUGGGAUGGACACUUGAUGGUUUGACGGAGUAAGAGCGGGGGCCUGAGGAGGCCUAAGGUCAGGAACACUUAACUCUGAGAGGGAGAUGUGCCCAGACUUAAACUGAUGCUAUUUUCUCUUUAAGGAUGCUCCCGCAGGGCAGGUCCAUUGUGGUACCCAGUGCCUAGCACAAGAGCCUGACACACAGCAGAUGCUUGUUGUAUCUUUGUUGAGUAAAUGACUAAACACAGCCAGGCAGUAAAUGUGGGUAAGCCAUUGGGCUUGCAGCUCUCUCAUGCCCUGGGUUGUGUGACCGAGAUAUUUUCCCCUCCAGAGGGAGUUCCAAAGAGGUACAGCAACCACCACUGGUUUGGCAUGGAGGAUCUCACUAUUAGUGACCUCUGAGGAGUCUUGGUUCCAGAUGUGAUGGGCAGUGGAGCUAAUGAAACUGAGGCUUCAGGACUCCUCUCUUGACCGGGCCCUUCCAAGGCUGGGCAUUCUCUGCUGGGGGUGCAGGAUGUCUGAUCACCUGUGCCCUGGUGGUGUCAGCAUGACCCCAUGUAUUGUACACAGAGCUCCCCAACACCUACCCCUGGGGGACAUCACCAAACGUGAACCCUGAUUUUAAAGCCCAUGGAGAAGACUCUGAAGGAGACGCCACGAAGAUCCAGCCUUUACUGUCACCCUGCUCCUUGGGUACCUGUCUGGCAGGUGGGAGUGAUGGUGAUGACUGGACUGAGCUGGGCCAGAUGCCCGGGGAACAACCUCUGGGCAUAAAGCACCAGCUGAGCAGGAAACUUCACGGGAAGUUUUAUGUGUGGUAUUACUAGUAACAAGCUGUGAAGCCAAUUUUUUCAAAUUACCAACAACACAAAACAUAUUUUGAUAACACAUGCCAGAGGGAAAAUGGAAUUAUCUUUCCUCUCUUUAGAAAAUCCAUAUUAUAUAAAUAGAUGGUCAAACAGGGUGCAGUCAGAAAUGUUAAAAUAUAGGGGAAAGAAAGUAUCAGUAUCCUUGAGGUGUGUUAGAGUGCAAUUAUUAUUAAUGAAAAUAUUAUAGUAUUCUUUUGGAUUUUGUGAUGUUUGUGUUCACAUUUUUAAAAUUUACAAUUUGUGAUUUCUAGUUCUAAAUACUUUUAUACCUGAUUUUAUAUUUUGUAUAUUUUUUUCUCGCACUGCCUCUCCUUCCCCAAAUUAGAUAAGCUUCAGGAUCUGCACAACAUGGAUAUGUCAGUAUGGUUCAUCACUGCUGUAGUCAUUGCUUAUUUUUUUAUGUAGGUGUUUUAAUAAACACCCUUGAACCUACCAUGCAAUACCAAGAAAUGAAACACCGGUAACAUAUGUAUUUCUCCCAUCCCAUCUUCCUGCCUCCCCCUCCCGAGUCAACCACUGUCCCGAAUCUUGUAUUCAUCAUUCCCUUACAUUUAAAAAUGUGUUCACCAGGGCUUCCCUGGUGGCGCAGUGGUUGAGAGUCUGCCUGCCAAUGCAGGGGACACGGGUUCGAGCCCUGGUCUGGGAGGAUCCCACAUGCCGCGGAGCAACUGGGCCCGUGAGCCACAACUACUGAGCCUGUGCUCCGCAACAAGAGAGGCCACGAUAAUGAGAGGCCCGCGCACCGCGAUGAAGAAUGGCCCCCACUUGCCGCAACUAGAGAAAGCCCUCACACAGAAACGAAGACCCAACACAGCCAUAAAAAUAAAUAAAUAAAUAAACCCAAAGUUAAAAAAAAAAAAAAUUU